GGUUAAGCGACUAAGCGUACACGGUGGAUGCCCUGGCAGUCAGAGGCGAUGAAGGACGUGCUAAUCUGCGAUAAGCGCCGGUAAGGUGAUAUGAACCGUUAUAACCGGCGAUUUCCGAAUGGGGAAACCCAGUGUGAUUCGUCACACUAUCAUUAACUGAAUCCAUAGGUUAAUGAGGCGAACCGGGGGAACUGAAACAUCUAAGUACCCCGAGGAAAAGAAAUCAACCGAGAUUCCCCCAGUAGCGGCGAGCGAACGGGGAGGAGCCCAGAGCCUGAAUCAGCAUGUGUGUUAGUGGAAGCGUCUGGAAAGGCGCGCGAUACAGGGUGACAGCCCCGUACACAAAAGCGCAUGUGCUGUGAGCUCGAUGAGUAGGGCGGGACACGUGGUAUCCUGUCUGAAUAUGGGGGGACCAUCCUCCAAGGCUAAAUACUCCUGACUGACCGAUAGUGAACCAGUACCGUGAGGGAAAGGCGAAAAGAACCCCGGCGAGGGGAGUGAAAAAGAACCUGAAACCGUGUACGUACAAGCAGUGGGAGCACCCUUCGGGGUGUGACUGCGUACCUUUUGUAUAAUGGGUCAGCGACUUAUAUUCUGUAGCAAGGUUAACCGUAUAGGGGAGCCGGAGGGAAACCGAGUCUUAAUUGGGCGUUAAGUUGCAGGGUAUAGACCCGAAACCCGGUGAUCUAGCCAUGGGCAGGUUGAAGGUUGGGUAACACUAACUGGAGGACCGAACCGACUAAUGUUGAAAAAUUAGCGGAUGACCUGUGGCUGGGGGUGAAAGGCCAAUCAAACCGGGAGAUAGCUGGUUCUCCCCGAAAGCUAUUUAGGUAGCGCCUCGUGAAUUCAUCUCCGGGGGUAGAGCACUGUUUCGGCUAGGGGGCCAUCCCGGCUUACCAACCCGAUGCAAACUGCGAAUACCGGAGAAUGUUAUCACGGGAGACACACGGCGGGUGCUAACGUCCGUCGUGAAGAGGGAAACAACCCAGACCGCCAGCUAAGGUCCCAAAGUCAUGGUUAAGUGGGAAACGAUGUGGGAAGGCCCAGACAGCCAGGAUGUUGGCUUAGAAGCAGCCAUCAUUUAAAGAAAGCGUAAUAGCUCACUGGUCGAGUCGGCCUGCGCGGAAGAUGUAACGGGGCUAAACCAUGCACCGAAGCUGCGGCAGCGAACGUAUCACCCAAGACAACUUUACGGAGUUGACGAUUGACGGAGCGAAGCGACGUCAAAGCGUUCAUUAAAGUCGAGUUGGCUUAGGGAUACGUUCGUUGGGUAGGGGAGCGUUCUGUAAGCCUGUGAAGGUGUGUCGUGAGGCAUGCUGGAGGUAUCAGAAGUGCGAAUGCUGACAUAAGUAACGAUAAAGCGGGUGAAAAGCCCGCUCGCCGGAAGACCAAGGGUUCCUGUCCAACGUUAAUCGGGGCAGGGUGAGUCGACCCCUAAGGCGAGGCCGAAAGGCGUAGUCGAUGGGAAACGGGUUAAUAUUCCCGUACUUGGUGUUACUGCGAAGGGGGGACGGAGAAGGCUAUGUUGGCCGGGCGACGGUUGUCCCGGUUUAAGGGUGUAGGUGUGUGUUCCAGGUAAAUCCGGUUCACUUUAACACUGAGGCGUGACGACGAGGCACUACGGUGCUGAAGCAACAAAUGCCCUGCUUCCAGGAAAAGCCUCUAAGCAUCAGGUAACACGAAAUCGUACCCCAAACCGACACAGGUGGUCAGGUAGAGAAUACCAAGGCGCUUGAGAGAACUCGGGUGAAGGAACUAGGCAAAAUGGUGCCGUAACUUCGGGAGAAGGCACGCUGACACGUAGGUGAAGUGAUUUACUCAUGGAGCUGAAGUCAGUCGAAGAUACCAGCUGGCUGCAACUGUUUAUUAAAAACACAGCACUGUGCAAACACGAAAGUGGACGUAUACGGUGUGACGCCUGCCCGGUGCCGGAAGGUUAAUUGAUGGGGUCAGCGUAAGCGAAGCUCCUGAUCGAAGCCCCGGUAAACGGCGGCCGUAACUAUAACGGUCCUAAGGUAGCGAAAUUCCUUGUCGGGUAAGUUCCGACCUGCACGAAUGGCGUAAUGAUGGCCAGGCUGUCUCCACCCGAGACUCAGUGAAAUUGAACUCGCUGUGAAGAUGCAGUGUACCCGCGGCAAGACGGAAAGACCCCGUGAACCUUUACUAUAGCUUGACACUGAACAUUGAGCCUUGAUGUGUAGGAUAGGUGGGAGGCUUUGAAGUGUGGACGCCAGUCUGCAUGGAGCCGACCUUGAAAUACCACCCUUUAAUGUUUGAUGUUCUAACGUGGACCCGUAAUCCGGGUUGCGGACAGUGUCUGGUGGGUAGUUUGACUGGGGCGGUCUCCUCCUAAAGAGUAACGGAGGAGCACGAAGGUUGGCUAAUCCUGGUCGGACAUCAGGAGGUUAGUGCAAUGGCAUAAGCCAGCUUGACUGCGAGCGUGACGGCGCGAGCAGGUGCGAAAGCAGGUCAUAGUGAUCCGGUGGUUCUGAAUGGAAGGGCCAUCGCUCAACGGAUAAAAGGUACUCCGGGGAUAACAGGCUGAUACCGCCCAAGAGUUCAUAUCGACGGCGGUGUUUGGCACCUCGAUGUCGGCUCAUCACAUCCUGGGGCUGAAGUAGGUCCCAAGGGUAUGGCUGUUCGCCAUUUAAAGUGGUACGCGAGCUGGGUUUAGAACGUCGUGAGACAGUUCGGUCCCUAUCUGCCGUGGGCGCUGGAGAACUGAGGGGGGCUGCUCCUAGUACGAGAGGACCGGAGUGGACGCAUCACUGGUGUUCGGGUUGUCAUGCCAAUGGCACUGCCCGGUAGCUAAAUGCGGAAGAGAUAAGUGCUGAAAGCAUCUAAGCACGAAACUUGCCCCGAGAUGAGUUCUCCCUGAGACUUAGAGUCUCCUGAAGGAACGUUGAAGACGACGACGUUGAUAGGCCGGGUGUGUAAGCGCAGCGAUGCGUUGAGCUAACCGGUACUAAUGAACCGUGAGGCUUAACCUUAC
This 2992-nucleotide ribosomal RNA is filed under the name Salmonella enterica subsp. enterica serovar Typhimurium str. D23580. RNAcentral describes it as "bacterial LSU rRNA". It matches the Rfam family "Bacterial large subunit ribosomal RNA". The record is from RNAcentral. Lineage: Bacteria; Pseudomonadati; Pseudomonadota; Gammaproteobacteria; Enterobacterales; Enterobacteriaceae.